GAGUUUGAUCCUGGCUCAGGACGAACGCUGGCGGCGUGCUUAACACAUGCAAGUCGAACGAUGAAGCCUAGCUUGCUGGGUGGAAGAGUGGCGAACGGGUGAGUAACACGUGAGUAACCUGCCCUUCACUCUGGGAUAAGCACUGGAAACGGUGUCUAAUACUGGAUACGACCCUUACAGGCAUCUGUUGGGGGUGGAAAGAUUUAUCGGUGAAGGAUGGGCUCGCGGCCUAUCAGGUUGUUGGUGAGGUAACGGCUCACCAAGCCUACGACGGGUAGCCGGCCUGAGAGGGUGACCGGCCACACUGGGACUGAGACACGGCCCAGACUCCUACGGGAGGCAGCAGUGGGGAAUAUUGCACAAUGGGCGCAAGCCUGAUGCAGCAACGCCGCGUGAGGGAUGACGGCCUUCGGGUUGUAAACCUCUUUUAGUAGGGAAGAAGCGUAAGUGACGGUACCUGCAGAAAAUGCACCGGCUAACUACGUGCCAGCAGCCGCGGUAA
RNAcentral lists this ribosomal RNA (502 nucleotides) under uncultured Leucobacter sp. Its description in RNAcentral is "bacterial SSU rRNA". It matches the Rfam family "Bacterial small subunit ribosomal RNA", at positions 9 to 523 of the family's 1533-position model. Lineage: Bacteria; Bacillati; Actinomycetota; Actinomycetes; Micrococcales; Microbacteriaceae. The record is from RNAcentral.